CGCGUUGUAUCGCGGAACCAAUCCUAAUUAUGUCAUAAUUGAUUAACGAUUUUAUUGACAUCUUAAAAUCUUGUAGAAUCAGAUUGCUUAAAAAACUUAUAUAUAUUACAAAUUGUAUAUAAUACAUAUUGAUAAAUAUUUUUUCGCGUUGUAUCGCGGAACCAAUCCUAAUUAUGUCAUAAUUGAUUAACGAUUUUAUUGACAUCUUAAAACCUUGUAGAAUCAGAUUGCUUAAAACCCCACUUAACAAGUAAACUCCACAAUGUAGCUAGACGACCGCCUAUAUAUACCGUUUUUAAAGAACACUUGAAACAUAUUCUUAGCUUUUGAUGUUUUGUUAAUUUUGAAUAAAGUCCAUUUGCUCUAUAGUAUUUUUCUUUAUUAGCUUGAUUGUAAUUAAUUUCCCUUUCACAUAAAAUAGUGAAGACACAAAAAUAUCCAGUUAAAUUAUUUUACUGGUAACAUUAUAAACAUAUUUAACUGUUAAAAUUAUUUUAUUUCGACGAAAAACAAAAAAAAACUAUUAAUUUUAGGACAAAACAAUAAUGAGUAAUUUAUUUAUGUUUUUAGAGGAAUGUAGUUGAAGCUAUGUAUGUACACGAAGUUUGUCUUUACUUGGUGUAAACUUGAAUACCAAAAAUCCAUAUUUUCAACGUUUACAUUUUCAAAUUAAUCACCAAUUGAAGUAAAUUCAGUUUGAAAAAGAAAAAAGAAAAAAUUCAACAAUUGUUUGUUUUGGCCAACUUGUUUGGUCUUAAAUUUAAUAUCAAAAGUUAUAAAAGUCAACAAAAACAUAAAGUAACGUGGAAAAUAUGAAGUUCGUUAGACAUUACGUGAUCUCUCUACUAAGAUAAUGUUCUUUUUCUUUGGACACAAAAAGAAAUCCAAAAUUUCACAAAAUUGGUUAAAACCAAAUUAAGAUUAAACACUGUCACACACACACACCAGUACUGAUUAUAAAAAAUAUAUUUUAUGGAAAUAGAAGAAUCAUAGAGUUUCAUAAAUGAAAAUAGAUAUCAGAAAUCUUAAAUUGUCUAAAUUUUAGAAAAAAACUUGCUAUCAAAUUUGUAAAUACCAUGAAUUAUAAUGUUUUAUAUCACAAUUGGAAUCUAAAUCUGCCAGAUUUAAAUAACAACUAUAUCAAUUUGGACAACCACUGCAAAUUGAGAGAACAACUAUCUGAGUGUUAACAUCAAAGUUUUAAUGAUACCUGCAUACAUAUAUCCAUCCAAUCCAAGUUCAAAUACAAAAACUUAGUUAAAAUUAAAUUAAAAAAUAUAAACAUUGUGUUAAUCACAAAAAAAGUUCAUACGAAAUUUAUUUUCAUAAAUAUUUAUGAACUAAUUAAUAAAAAUUAGUUUACAUUUAUUCUCUAUACUACACUAUAAUAUUGUAUCUCAAAAAUAUUGUACAUAUUUUGAAAACAAUAUAUAAAUACAGAUUAAAAUGAUAAUUCAACAUCCUGAAUUUAUAUUAAAUAUCUGAAACCAAAACCAAAUUCAAAUAAUCUUAAAAUAUCUUAUUUUCUACAAGUGAACUAAAAAAAUUCAUAUCAAAAUUUAUUUUCAUAAUUACUAAUCAAAACUCUGUUAUACAUAUUUGGAAAAGAAUAUACAAAUACAGAUUCAAAUGAUAAUUCCAAUAUCCUGAAUUUUAGAUUAAGAUGUCUGAAUCCAAAACCAAAUCCAAAUAAAUCUUACUUUCUAGAAGUAGAUCUUGUAUAUUUGACCUAUAUAUCUUGAAAAAAUCUUCUUUUUCUUUUUUUUCGUCAAAACAAAAAGAACCUUUCU
RNAcentral lists this long non-coding RNA (1790 nucleotides) under Capsella grandiflora. RNAcentral describes it as "long non-coding RNA (CGRA_LNC001016)". Lineage: Eukaryota; Viridiplantae; Streptophyta; Magnoliopsida; Brassicales; Brassicaceae. The record is from RNAcentral.